This 229-nucleotide non-coding RNA is filed under the name Evansella cellulosilytica. Its description in RNAcentral is "Bacillus cellulosilyticus T-box sequence". It matches the Rfam family "T-box leader". From Rfam's summary of the family: Uncharged tRNA acts as the effector for transcription antitermination of genes in the T-box leader family. Lineage: Bacteria; Bacillati; Bacillota; Bacilli; Caryophanales; Bacillaceae. The record is from RNAcentral.
GUGAUAACGAAGAUAGGGACAGUACAUAUGAAGUACUAGGCAAAGCGAGUCAGGGUUGGUGGGAGCCUGACACUAGAUUCAUUUGGAAGAUCACCCUUGAGUUGCAUACCGAACGGAAUAAUGUUCUUAGUAGACUAUGCCGGCUAAUGACCGUUAAACGAUUACUAAGUGAAUAUAACAGUGUUAUAUUUAUUAGGGUGGUAACGCGGGUAUCCUUCUCGUCCCUUUG